This 468-nucleotide ribosomal RNA is filed under the name uncultured bacterium. RNAcentral's name for it is "partial 16S ribosomal RNA". It matches the Rfam family "Bacterial small subunit ribosomal RNA", at positions 28 to 507 of the family's 1533-position model. The record is from RNAcentral.
GACGAACGCUGGCGGCGCGCCUAACACAUGCAAGUCGAACGGAGUCAAGAGGAGCUUGCUUUUCUUGACUUAGUGGCGAACGGGUGAGUAACGCGUGAGUAACCUGCCCUGGAGUGGGGGACAACAGUUGGAAACGACUGCUAAUACCGCAUAAGCCCACGGAUCCGCAUGGAUCUGCGGGAAAAGGAUUUAUUCGCUUCAGGAUGGACUCGCGUCCAAUUAGCUAGUUGGUGAGGUAACGGCCCACCAAGGCGACGAUUGGUAGCCGGACUGAGAGGUUGAACUGCCACAUUGGGACUGAGACACGGCCCAGACUCCUACGGGAGGCAGCAGUGGGGGAUAUUGCACAAUGGGGGAAACCCUGAUGCAGCGACGCCGCGUGGAGGAAGAAGGUUUUCGGAUUGUAAACUCCUGUCGUUAGGGACGAUAAUGACGGUACCUAACAAGAAAGCACCGGCUAACUACGUG